Molecule: long non-coding RNA, 964 nt
Filed under: Homo sapiens (human)
Lineage: Eukaryota; Metazoa; Chordata; Mammalia; Primates; Hominidae
Description: novel transcript
Source: RNAcentral
AGGGGCGGGGCUUCCCUGAGGCGCGCCGAGAGGCGGUGGCCCACUUCCGGCAAUAAUCGCCUGGUCGCCGUCAGGUGCCGGCCCAGGUGGCAGGCGCGCCCGUUGGGCACUGGGGGACGCGGGCGCGUCAGGUGAAGACUGGGGGCUGCAGGCGCGCUAGGAGAACUAUGCCAUUUUUGGGUCAGGACUGGAGAUCUCCUGGAUGGAGUUGGAUUAAGACAGAAGAUGGCUGGAAGAAUUGUGAAUCUUGUAGUCAGAAACUUGAAAGAGAGAAUAACCAUUGUAACAUCAGUCACAGCAUAGGCAUGGCUAUUGCACCUUGGGAGAAACCUUUAAUCGGUUAGACUUCUCAAGUGCAAUUCAAGAUACCCGAAGGUUCAAUUAUGUGGUCAAAUAACAAUUUGGACAAGACAGCAAAUGCUAUUGUCGAAGUUUUCUAAAGAAGAAUCUGAAGUGAAAUGACAUCAAGAGACCUAUCAAGACCUGUAUCCAGGAAAAGCAGAAGAAUCCCAGACUUCUUAGAGAACCCAGUGACUUUUUGCACCUUAAAUCUGUGAAAUCCUCAUGCUUUCUUCUGCCGUAUCCAUCGUUCAAACAAACAUGAGGCAAAGCUAGACACAUUCCUGAAGGAACCCAAGAAAUUCCUCUCUUUCUCUCUCUGGAAUGAAAUGAAUUCUCUAGACCACCAGUUCUAACCUUCAAAAACCAAACCUGUUUGUGAGAUCUCCUUCAAAUACUACUGUAGACCCCAGUGUUUAUUCAUUAAAUUUUUUAAAUAUUUGUUUUAUUUGGAAUCAAAGUAUUUGUAAUUUUAGUAUUUGUAUUAAUAUAAGGGAGAAAUGUUUAAAUCUGUCUAUGCCAUAUGUGCCUUCGGCUUAUUGCCCAAUUAAUUGUAGCCUCAGGCUAAACUUUGGUUUCUGUCUUUAAUUUUUGUCGGAAGAAAUAUAACCGGUCUCAAAACAUC